AUCACAAUUGGCUACUUGACAGUUUUCGGAAAAUUAAUUUAAAAUUUUCCUAGGUUUAUUUUAUACCUCUUACAACUAAUCAUCUUUCCAAAAAAGCCUUAUUUUAUAGAGAAAAUCAAAACUUUCAUUCAUUGAUUUUAAAUUCGCGCCAAAACUGUCAGUCACGUGACACUUGGGGGCUGUGACGUCAUAUUUCAAAAAACAAAACAAUCUAAUACGACGCUCUAAUCGAGUACAUUGCAUUGCUCUAAAUAAGCUCUAACGUGUAUAUUAUUUUGAGUACAAAUUUCAGAUUUUAUAAAUAAUACCUACUGAAAUGACAAGUUAUAAGACGUGUGGCGUCCCUAUGUGCAAGAGUACGACAAUUAAAUGUCCUAAUAAAUUAUUUAUACACGUCCCAAAAUGUCCUAAACGUCGAAAGCAGUGGAUACAGUUAACACGCCGAGACCCGCAGUUUACAUCUGAUAAAUCUGCGAUUUUCUUUUGUGAAGACCAUUUCGAUCUACCUAAUGAUAUGGAAAAUUACAUUGAAUACAGUGUUAUGGGUUCUGUUGGUAAAA
This is a long non-coding RNA of Melitaea cinxia (Glanville fritillary), 560 nucleotides long. RefSeq lists it as uncharacterized. The record is from RefSeq and is a predicted model, not a curated record. NCBI's taxonomy places the organism in Eukaryota, Metazoa, Arthropoda, Insecta, Lepidoptera, Nymphalidae. The transcript has 2 exons.